This 440-nucleotide long non-coding RNA is filed under the name Rattus norvegicus (Norway rat). RNAcentral's name for it is "long non-coding RNA NONRATT027748". Lineage: Eukaryota; Metazoa; Chordata; Mammalia; Rodentia; Muridae. The record is from RNAcentral.
GACCAAGUGGAGCCGGCCACAGCCCGCCCACCCUUUCAUCUCUGCGGCUCCUUCCUCCUUGGUCCCCCUUUCUACUCUGUCUGUGGGUCCAUCUGGGUGGGCUUGGGGCGGGGAAGGAAGGGGUCUCUGCGGGCAGUUUGCACAAGAGGAAUCUUUGAAAGUGAACCAACUGGUAACAGGUCAUUUGGUCCACUAGGCGCUCCCAGCAAGAGCCCGAACCUCCAGGGGUGCAGAAUACUCUGUCAGACCAGGCAAGAUUGGGUAGGAAAGUUCAAGAGGAGACUCUGUGUGCCCCCACACAACCCCACUGCCCCUCCUCCAGCUCUCCCCUGACCUGAAGUCCCAGACGACUUUUCCCAGAGAGCUAAAAGCAAGAAAGUAACCUUUAGGAUUAAAAAGAAAUGUUCCUUUGUUUGUUUCUUUCUUUUUUUUCUUUUAAG